CAGCAUUAAUUUUACAACUUUGCAAAAGACAUUGAAAACAUUUUCGCGUGAACGUUCACUCCUUCACGGUGACGUCAUUUAACGUUGUUUUAUAACACAAAGAUCAAAAACAUCAAGUAAGGACAAAAACAGUCCGGAGACAAACAAAUUUGACUACAUAUAUCAUUUAUAUAUAAGAAAAUAUGUUAAAUUUAUGUAUGGACACAUAUGUCCUUCCCGUGGCGUGCAGACAAUGGAG
RNAcentral lists this long non-coding RNA (238 nucleotides) under Mytilus galloprovincialis (Mediterranean mussel). The record is from RNAcentral. Lineage: Eukaryota; Metazoa; Mollusca; Bivalvia; Mytilida; Mytilidae.